Molecule: ribosomal RNA, 267 nt
Filed under: uncultured soil bacterium
Lineage: Bacteria
Description: partial 16S ribosomal RNA
Rfam family: Bacterial small subunit ribosomal RNA
Source: RNAcentral
AGAAUCAACGCUGGCGGCGUGCCUAACACAUGCAAGUCGAACGCGAAAGCCCCGCAAGGGGCAAGUAGAGUGGCAAACGGGUGAGUAACACGUGGGUGACCUGCCUUCGAGCGGGGGAUAACGUCCCGAAAGGGACGCUAAUACCGCAUAACAUCCUGCCUUUGAAGAGGUGGAGAUCAAAGCUGGGGAUCGCAAGACCCGGCACUUGAAGAGGGGCCCGCGUCUGAUUAGCUAGUUGGUGGGUAACGCCUACCAAGGCAACGAUCA